AGCAUCCAAGGAGAGUGCGGGCAGCUGGAGCCAGGUCCUCCUCCUCCUCCUUCUCCUCCUCUUCUUCCUCCUCCGUCUUUUCUUCCUUUCCUCCUCCUCCUGCCUACUGCAGAGCAGCAGAAAGCAAAAGAGCUAGAAAAGGGUGAAAUCAAUUCUUUUUCUGUAACUUUUUGCUUUGCUUUUAUUAAGUUCUUAAGUCUUUUGGUCUUGAGUCUUAGAUAAGAUGCAAAUAAUUCUGAAGUUAGCACUGCCUCUAAGGUCUCCUGCAAUUCACCCACUCACUCCUCUUACUCCAUCAUAUUCAACUUCUAAACUAAGAGGAAAGCCUGAGCUAGAGGUCCUAUGCAUCAAUCAGGGAAGAGAUAUUGAGAAGAAUUAACAGAGAAACUGUAUUUUUUCUCUCGACUAAAACAUCCAUUUUAAUCAAUAUUUGGCAAGAAAAUAUCUACCUGUUUCAUCUUCACUGGUUAUUUCAAUAAACUGGAAAGAAUGACUGUCUAAAUGGUAGUUAUGUCCCAUGAG
Pongo pygmaeus (Bornean orangutan) is the source of this 522-nucleotide long non-coding RNA. RefSeq lists it as uncharacterized. The transcript is spliced from 3 exons. NCBI's taxonomy places the organism in Eukaryota, Metazoa, Chordata, Mammalia, Primates, Hominidae. The record is from RefSeq and is a predicted model, not a curated record.